UACAGUUUUACUGUACAUGUUUUCAGCCUUUAUUGGUUAAAGACCAUUUUUAUUACGAAAAUAUUACGAAACUUCAAAAACUCAGUGUUUAAAACUCGGUGUCAUUCAGACUCAACCCUCUUGACUUUGGGUGAUUAAG
Alosa sapidissima (American shad) is the source of this 139-nucleotide long non-coding RNA. RefSeq lists it as uncharacterized. The transcript has 3 exons. Lineage: Eukaryota; Metazoa; Chordata; Actinopteri; Clupeiformes; Clupeidae. The record is from RefSeq and is a predicted model, not a curated record.